AGAGUUUGAUCCUGGCUCAGGAUGAACGCUGGCGGCGUGCCUAAAACAUGCAAGUCGUGCGGUAACAGAAAGAGCUUGCUCUUUGCUGACGAGCGGCGGACGGCUGAGUAACGCGUAGGAACCUACCCCAAACUGAGGGAUAAGCACCAGAAAUGGUGUCUAAUACCGCAUGUGCUCUAAGGAGUAAAGCUUCGGCGGUU
This 200-nucleotide ribosomal RNA is filed under the name uncultured bacterium. Its description in RNAcentral is "partial 16S ribosomal RNA". It matches the Rfam family "Bacterial small subunit ribosomal RNA", at positions 8 to 220 of the family's 1533-position model. The record is from RNAcentral.